AGGCAACAGCGGGCGAAUGAGGCGCGACGCAACACUGAGAAUGAAAAAACAAAGAAGAAAACUGAAGAUACAAAAGAGAUAGACGCAGAGGACAACGCCUUUUCGGGUAAGGAUGACGAUCGUAUGAGCAAAAGGAGUCGCCGUGAAAAAGGCGAGCGCACCCGUCCGGUGUCGCGUGAGCAGGAGCCCGUAGACCGUUGCUGUCGGCGCAGGCGCCGGCGGAGAUCAUGCCGUCGCAGACGCAGGCGCAGUUGCAGUCGGCGCCGCCGCCGUCGACGCCGUCGCAGCUGUAGUCGCCGCCGUCGGAGAAGAAGCUGUCGACGCAGAAGACGCAGAAGGCGCCGCUGUGGACGUUAAGCCCCGAUGUUACCCACUUGUAACCGAUUUUUGGAGCGUUUAAUUUUUAUUAAUAAAUUAUUGAU
Long non-coding RNA from Pieris rapae (cabbage white), 422 nucleotides. RefSeq lists it as uncharacterized. The transcript has 4 exons. NCBI's taxonomy places the organism in Eukaryota, Metazoa, Arthropoda, Insecta, Lepidoptera, Pieridae. The record is from RefSeq and is a predicted model, not a curated record.